Molecule: transfer RNA, 72 nt
Filed under: Heterocephalus glaber (naked mole-rat)
Lineage: Eukaryota; Metazoa; Chordata; Mammalia; Rodentia; Bathyergidae
Rfam family: tRNA
About the family: Transfer RNA (tRNA) molecules are approximately 80 nucleotides in length.
Source: Rfam by way of RNAcentral
GGGGAUUUAGCUCAGUGGCACUGUGCCUGCCUUAGAAGCACAAGGUCCUGAGUUCGAUCCCCAGUACCCCCC